CGUUGAUUACGAUGUGAGGUCGCCUGUUGCUCAAGAGUGAUCUAGAGUUCUAACAGGGAAUUAACUGGACUAAGGUAGCAUAAUAAGUUGCUUUAUAAUUAAAAGCUUGAAUGAAAGAAAUAAUGUGAAACAAGCUUUUUAAACUAAAGUAGUAAAAAUUAAUAUUUAAGUGAAAAAUCUUAAAUAAAAUCAAAAGACAAGAAGACCCUUUAGAACUUUACAAAUUAACUUAAUUUCAUUUGGUUAAUUUUGUUAGAUUGGGGAGAUUUUUAAAUAAAUAAAUCUUUAGAUAUAAAAAAAUGAUUUAAAUCAAAUUAAAUUAUCCAAAUAUGAAAUAAAACAAGUUACCUAAGGGAUAACAGCGCAAAAUUUUUGAGAAGUUCUCAUUUACAAAAUAAAUUGCGACCUCGAUGUUGGAUUAAGAACAACUUAUAAAGAAAAAUUUAUAAGAGUUGGUCUGUUCGCCCAAAUAAAUCUUACAUGAUCUGAGUUCAAACCGGC
This 501-nucleotide ribosomal RNA is filed under the name Bemisia tabaci. Its description in RNAcentral is "partial 16S ribosomal RNA". The stretch from base 355 to 501 matches the Rfam family "Archaeal large subunit ribosomal RNA", at positions 2542 to 2689 of the family's 2987-position model. Lineage: Eukaryota; Metazoa; Arthropoda; Insecta; Hemiptera; Aleyrodidae. The record is from RNAcentral.